This 130-nucleotide small nucleolar RNA is filed under the name Salmo trutta (river trout). RNAcentral describes it as "Small nucleolar RNA SNORA68 (ENSSTUG00000022032.1)". It matches the Rfam family "Small nucleolar RNA SNORA68". Rfam says of the family: U68 is a member of the H/ACA class of small nucleolar RNAs (snoRNAs) which act as guides in the the modification of uridines to pseudouridines. The record is from Rfam by way of RNAcentral. Lineage: Eukaryota; Metazoa; Chordata; Actinopteri; Salmoniformes; Salmonidae.
UAUGCACCCUAACCCAACGGCCAUAUCAAAUGAAUGUUAUGAUCUUGUCAGGUGUGCUAAAAUCAAUGUGUUCCUUGUCGCCUUUCUCUGAAGCUGCUGUGCCGUUAAGUUAAUUCAAGGUUCAACAUUA